GAUUAAUGCUGGUGGUAUGCAUAACACAUGCAAGUCGAACGAGUGGAACUUGUUCUGCUAGUGGCGAACGGGCGAGUAAUACAUAUUUAACUUACUUUUACGAGGAGGAUAGCAGCUCGAAAGGGCUAUUAAUACUCCAUAGGUUUAUAAACUAAAUUAAAGAGGCUCCUUUGGGGCCUUGCGUAAAACUAGGAAUAUGUCCUAUUAGGUAGUUGGCGGGGUAAAGGCCCACCAAGCCAAUGAUGGGUAGCUGGACUGAGAGGUUGAACAGCCGCAAUGGGAUUGAGAUAUGGCCCAUAUUCCUACGGGAAGCAGCAGUGAGGAAUUUUUCACAAUGGACGAAAGUCUGAUGGAGCAAUACCACGUGAACGAUGAAGGUCUUCUGAUUGUAAAGUUCUUUUAUUUAGGAAAAAAAGCGUGCUAGGAAAUGAGCGCGCCUUGAUGGUACUAAUUGAAUAAGUGACAGCUAACUAUGUGCCAGCAGCUGCGGUAAAACAUAGGUCACGAGCAUUAUUCGGAUUUAUUUGGGCGUAAAGGAAGCGUAGGCGGGGAGGUUGAUCCAUUGUUAAAAGCAUUUGCUUAACAAAUGUGUGCAUUGGAGAUCGCCUCCCUAGAGUUAAUCAGGGGGUACUGGAAUUCAAUGUGUAGCGGUGGAAUGCGUAGAUAUAUUGAGGAACACCAGAGGCUAAGGCGAGUGCCUAGGAUAUAACUGACGCUGAGGCUUGAAAGCGUGGGGAGCAAAUGGGAUUAGAUACCCCAGUAGUCCACGCCGUAAACGAUGAGCAUUGGGCAUUUGACAUCUGGUCGAGUGCUGUAGCUAACGCGUUAAAUGCUCCGCCUGGGUAGUAUAUAUGCAAAUAUGAAACUCAAAGAAAUUGACGGGGACCUGAACAAGUGGUGGAGCAUGUUGCUUAAUUCGAUAAUACACGAAAAACCUUACCAAGGCUUGUAAUCUAUUGCGAAGCUAUAGAAAUAUAGUGGAGGUUAUCAGUAAGACAGGUGGUGCAUGGCUGUCGUCAGCUCGUGUCUUGAGAUGUUUGGUUAAGUCCCGUAACGAGCGCAACCCUACUCUCUAGUUACUUAGUUCUAGAGUGACUGAAUCGUAAGAUAUAGGAAGGAUGGGGCCAAGUCAAGUCAUCAUGCCCCUUAUGCCUUGGGCUGCAAACGUGCUACAAUGGUAGGUACAAUGUGUUGCAAACUAGCGAUAGUGAGCCAAUCACCUAAAGCCUAUCUCAGUCCGGAUAAAAGG
This 1249-nucleotide ribosomal RNA is filed under the name Mycoplasma wenyonii. RNAcentral's name for it is "bacterial SSU rRNA". It matches the Rfam family "Bacterial small subunit ribosomal RNA", at positions 28 to 1304 of the family's 1533-position model. Lineage: Bacteria; Bacillati; Mycoplasmatota; Mollicutes; Mycoplasmatales; Mycoplasmataceae. The record is from RNAcentral.